RNAcentral lists this ribosomal RNA (449 nucleotides) under uncultured bacterium. Its description in RNAcentral is "bacterial SSU rRNA". It matches the Rfam family "Bacterial small subunit ribosomal RNA", at positions 29 to 521 of the family's 1533-position model. The record is from RNAcentral.
AAUGAACGCUGGCGGCAGGCCUAACACAUGCAAGUCGAACGGGUGCCUUCGGGUGCUAGUGGCGGACGGGUGAGUAACGCGUGGGAACAUACCCUUUGGUACGGAAUAGCCUCGGGAAACUGAGAGUAAUACCGUAUGUGCCCUUCGGGGGAAAGAUUUAUCGCCAAAGGAUUGGCCCGCGUUGGAUUAGGUAGUUGGUGGGGUAAUGGCCUACCAAGCCGACGAUCCAUAGCUGGUUUGAGAGGAUGAUCAGCCACACUGGGACUGAGACACGGCCCAGACUCCUACGGGAGGCAGCAGUGGGGAAUCUUAGACAAUGGGGGAAACCCUGAUCUAGCCAUGCCGCGUGAUCGAUGAAGGCCUUAGGGUUGUAAAGAUCUUUCAGAUGGGAAGAUAAUGACGGUACCAUCAGAAGAAGCCCCGGCUAACUCCGUGCCAGCAGCCGCGGU